GGUUAAGCGACUAAGCGUAAACGGUGGAUGCCCUGGCAGUCAGAGGCGAUGAAGGACGUGCUAAUCUGCGAAAAGGUGGGUAGGUGAUAUGAACCGUUAUAACCGGCGAUGUCCGAAUGGGGAAAACCCAGUGCAAUUCGUUGCACUUAUUGUUUAACUGAAUACAUAGGUUAACGAGGCAACCGGGGGAACUGAAACAUCUAAGUACCCCGAGGAAAGAAAUCAACCGAGAUUCCCCAGUACGAGCGAACGGGGAUGCCCAGAGUCUGAAUCAGCUCGUGCGGUCUGGAAAGUCCGACGGUACAGGGUGAUAGUCCCCACCAAAAUGCACAGGCUGUGAACUCGAAGAGCACGGUAUCCUGUCUGAAUAUGGGGGGACCAUCCUCCAAGGCUAAAUACUCCUGACUGACGAUAGGAAUACCGUGAGGGAAAGGCGAAAAGAACCCCGGCGAGGGGAGUGAAAAAGAACCUGAAACCGUGUACGUACAAGCAGUGGGAGCACCUUCGGGUGAGACUGCGUACCUUUUGUAUAAUGGGUCAGCGACUUAUAUUCUGUAGCAAGGUUAACCGUAUCGGAGAACGCAGGGAAACCGAGUCGCUGGGCGUUAAGUUGCAGGUAUGGACCCGAAACCCGGUGAUCUGGCCAUGGGCAGGUUGAAGGUUGGGUAACAAGGGAGGACCGAACCGACUAAUGUUGAAAAAUUAGCGGAUGACUUGUGGCUGGGGUGAAAGCCAAUCAACCGGGAGAUACUGGUUCUCAGAACAACCUGUGAAUUCAUCUUCGGGGUAGAGCACUGUUUCGAUCGCCCGACUGAAACCCGAUGCAAACUACGAAUACCGAAGAAUGUUAUCACGGGACACACGGCGGGUGCGUCCGUCGUGAAGAGGGAAACAACCCAGACCGCCAGCUAAGUCCCAAAGUCAUGGUUAAGUGGGAAACGAUGUGGGAAGGCACAGACAGCCAUGAUGUUGAAGCAGCCAUGAUUCCCGCCGUACCACGCUCGAUCCAUGCACCGAAGCUGAAGCGAACGAUGUUACCCGGAUCUGAAAGCGGUGAAGGUCUUUGCUGGUUCAGAAUGGCCAGCAGUAUAAAGCGGUGAAGCCGCUCGGGAAGACCAAGCGCGGUGAAAGAGAAGCGUGAUGAAACAUAAAGUCGCGGUCUACGGGAUGACGGAGAAGGCUCCCCUCGCAGGCGGCUUCUCUUAUUAAAUCCGAGCGGCGAGGUGUAUUACCGAAGGGAUCACCUACAAAUGAUGCCCAGGCGCAUCAGGUAACAUUAAAUCGUACCCCAAACCGACACAGGUGGUCAGGUAGAGAAUACCAAGGCGAGAGAACUCGGGUGAAGGAAGCGGGCAAAAUGGUGCCGUAACUUCGAGAAGCACGCUGCAAAGCCCUGCGGGUGGAUUGAGACCAGGAAGAUACCAGCUGGCUGCACUGUUUAUUAAAAACACAGCACUGUGCAACACGAAAGUGGACGUAUACGGUGUGACGCCUGCCCGGUGCCGGAAGGUUAAUUGAUGGGGUUAUCCGUAAGGAGAAUCUUGAUCGAAGCCCCGGUAAACGGCGCCGUAACUAUAACGUUCGUAGUAGCGAAAUUCCUUGUCGGGUAAGUUCCGACCUGCACGAAUGGCGUAAUGAUGGCCAGGCUGUCUCCACCCGAGACUCAGUGAAAUUGAACUGCUGUGAAGAUGCAGUUUACGGCGGCAAGACGGAAAGACCCCGUGAACCUUUACUUGAACAUUGAGCCUUGAUGUGUAGGAUAGGUGGCAGGGGAUGCUAUGGAACCUUUCCUUUCCCUUCGACACGUCAGCAAAACCUUCCACGCCAACCGCGCGCUCAAUGAUAUCAGCAUCGACUUUAUGCCCGGAGAAGUGCACUGCCUGGCCGGGCAGAAUGGUUGCGGGAAGUCGACGUUGAUCAAAAUUAUCUCUGGCGUCUAUCGCCCGGAUGAGGGGGUCUGUACGAGAGCCGGAGUGACGCAUCACUGGUGUUCGGGUGUCAUGCCAAUGGCACUGCCCGUAGCUAAAUGCGGAAGAGAUAAGUGCUGAAAGCAUCAAGCACGAAACUUGCCCCGAGAUGAGUUCUCCUGAGACUUAAGUCUCGGCCUCGUUGAAGACGACGACGAUAGGCCGGGUGUGUAAGCGCAGCGAUGCGUUGAGCUAACCGGUACUAAUGAACCGUGAGGCUUAACCUU
RNAcentral lists this ribosomal RNA (2194 nucleotides) under Klebsiella pneumoniae. RNAcentral describes it as "23S ribosomal RNA". It matches the Rfam family "Bacterial large subunit ribosomal RNA". Lineage: Bacteria; Pseudomonadati; Pseudomonadota; Gammaproteobacteria; Enterobacterales; Enterobacteriaceae. The record is from RNAcentral.